UACGUGAGGUGCAAACGUUACCCGGAAUUAUUGGGCGUAAAGAGUCCGUAGGUGGUGAAUUAAGUCAGAUGUUAAAUCUUGGAGCUCAACUUCAAGUCUGCGUCCGAAACUGAUUCGCUUGAGUCUUGGAGAGGUGAGUGGAAUUCUGUAUGUAGGGGUAAAAUCCGUAGAUAUACAGAGGAACACCAAAAGCGAAGGCAGCUCACUGGCCAAGUACUGACACUAAAGGACGAAAGCGUAGGUAGCAAAC
RNAcentral lists this ribosomal RNA (250 nucleotides) under uncultured bacterium. RNAcentral describes it as "partial 16S ribosomal RNA". It matches the Rfam family "Bacterial small subunit ribosomal RNA", at positions 524 to 773 of the family's 1533-position model. The record is from RNAcentral.